RNAcentral lists this ribosomal RNA (555 nucleotides) under Fusarium verticillioides. RNAcentral's name for it is "eukaryotic LSU rRNA". The stretch from base 189 to 342 matches the Rfam family "5.8S ribosomal RNA". The record is from RNAcentral. Lineage: Eukaryota; Fungi; Ascomycota; Sordariomycetes; Hypocreales; Nectriaceae.
UAACAAGGUCUCCGUUGGUGAACCAGCGGAGGGAUCAUUACCGAGUUUACAACUCCCAAACCCCUGUGAACAUACCAAUUGUUGCCUCGGCGGAUCAGCCCGCUCCCGGUAAAACGGGACGGCCCGCCAGAGGACCCCUAAACUCUGUUUCUAUAUGUAACUUCUGAGUAAAACCAUAAAUAAAUCAAAACUUUCAACAACGGAUCUCUUGGUUCUGGCAUCGAUGAAGAACGCAGCAAAAUGCGAUAAGUAAUGUGAAUUGCAGAAUUCAGUGAAUCAUCGAAUCUUUGAACGCACAUUGCGCCCGCCAGUAUUCUGGCGGGCAUGCCUGUUCGAGCGUCAUUUCAACCCUCAAGCCCCCGGGUUUGGUGUUGGGGAUCGGCGAGCCCUUGCGGCAAGCCGGCCCCGAAAUCUAGUGGCGGUCUCGCUGCAGCUUCCAUUGCGUAGUAGUAAAACCCUCGCAACUGGUACGCGGCGCGGCCAAGCCGUUAAACCCCCAACUUCUGAAUGUUGACCUCGGAUCAGGUAGGAAUACCCGCUGAACUUAAGCAUAUC